This 879-nucleotide ribosomal RNA is filed under the name Limosilactobacillus fermentum. RNAcentral's name for it is "bacterial SSU rRNA". It matches the Rfam family "Bacterial small subunit ribosomal RNA", at positions 52 to 904 of the family's 1533-position model. Lineage: Bacteria; Bacillati; Bacillota; Bacilli; Lactobacillales; Lactobacillaceae. The record is from RNAcentral.
UUGAGCCCAAUUGAUUGAUGGUGCUUGCACCUGAUUGAUUUUGGUCGCCAACGAGUGGCGGACGGGUGAGUAACACGUAGGUAACCUGCCCAGAAGCGGGGGACAACAUUUGGAAACAGAUGCUAAUACCGCAUAACAACGUUGUUCGCAUGAACAACGCUUAAAAGAUGGCUUCUCGCUAUCACUUCUGGAUGGACCUGCGGUGCAUUAGCUUGUUGGUGGGGUAACGGCCUACCAAGGCGAUGAUGCAUAGCCGAGUUGAGAGACUGAUCGGCCACAAUGGGACUGAGACACGGCCCAUACUCCUACGGGAGGCAGCAGUAGGGAAUCUUCCACAAUGGGCGCAAGCCUGAUGGAGCAACACCGCGUGAGUGAAGAAGGGUUUCGGCUCGUAAAGCUCUGUUGUUAAAGAAGAACACGUAUGAGAGUAACUGUUCAUACGUUGACGGUAUUUAACCAGAAAGUCACGGCUAACUACGUGCCAGCAGCCGCGGUAAUACGUAGGUGGCAAGCGUUAUCCGGAUUUAUUGGGCGUAAAGAGAGUGCAGGCGGUUUUCUAAGUCUGAUGUGAAAGCCUUCGGCUUAACCGGAGAAGUGCAUCGGAAACUGGAUAACUUGAGUGCAGAAGAGGGUAGUGGAACUCCAUGUGUAGCGGUGGAAUGCGUAGAUAUAUGGAAGAACACCAGUGGCGAAGGCGGCUACCUGGUCUGCAACUGACGCUGAGACUCGAAAGCAUGGGUAGCGAACAGGAUUAGAUACCCUGGUAGUCCAUGCCGUAAACGAUGAGUGCUAGGUGUUGGAGGGUUUCCGCCCUUCAGUGCCGGAGCUAACGCAUUAAGCACUCCGCCUGGGGAGUACGACCGCAAGGUUGAAACUCAA